AAAAAAGUAAGCUAAUUAAGCUAUUGGGUUCAUACCCCGCCUAUAAAGGUUUUAGUCCUUUCUUUUUUA
RNAcentral lists this transfer RNA (69 nucleotides) under Chrysolina polita. Its description in RNAcentral is "tRNA-Met". It matches the Rfam family "tRNA". Rfam says of the family: Transfer RNA (tRNA) molecules are approximately 80 nucleotides in length. The record is from RNAcentral. Lineage: Eukaryota; Metazoa; Arthropoda; Insecta; Coleoptera; Chrysomelidae.